AACGAACGCUGGCGGCAUGCCUAACACAUGCAAGUCGAACGGAAAGGUCGGGUAUAGGGGCGGAGGGGUGCGGAAGGAGUGGGGACCUACACGUGAGUAAGGAGUACCUCACCGAAGGGUGUCCUAAUACAGGUGGAGCUCAUAGCACAAAGGAGCUAUCGCCUUAGGGUGGGCGCGCGUUGGUUUCGCUGGUUGGUAGGGGAAAAGCGUAUCAAGGGGACGUUGCAUGGCUGGUCUGAGAGGAUGAUCUUCCACACUGGGACUGAGACACGGCCCAGACUCCUACGCGACGCAGCAGUAGGGUAUAUUGGACAAUGGGCGAAAGCCUGAUCCAGCAAUGCCGCGUGAGUGAUGAAGGCCUUAGGGUUGUAAAGCCCUUUUACCCGGGAUGAUAAUGACAGUACCGGGAGAAUAAGCUCCGGCUAACUCCGUG
This 433-nucleotide ribosomal RNA is filed under the name uncultured bacterium. RNAcentral's name for it is "partial 16S ribosomal RNA". It matches the Rfam family "Bacterial small subunit ribosomal RNA", at positions 29 to 507 of the family's 1533-position model. The record is from RNAcentral.